Molecule: ribosomal RNA, 253 nt
Filed under: uncultured bacterium
Lineage: Bacteria
Description: partial 16S ribosomal RNA
Rfam family: Bacterial small subunit ribosomal RNA
Source: RNAcentral
UACGUAGGGUGCAAGCGUUAAUCGGAAUUACUGGGCGUAAAGCGUGCGCAGGCGGUGAUGUAAGACAGAUGUGAAAUCCCCGGGCUCAACCUGGGACCUGCAUUUGUGACUGCAUCGCUAGAGUACGGUAGAGGGGGAUGGAAUUCCGCGUGUAGCAGUGAAAUGCGUAGAUAUGCGGAGGAACACCGAUGGCGAAGGCGGCAUCCUGGACCGGCAUUGACGCUGAGGCGCGAAAGCGUGGGGAGCAAACAGG